Molecule: unclassified non-coding RNA, 211 nt
Filed under: uncultured Clavaria
Lineage: Eukaryota; Fungi; Basidiomycota; Agaricomycetes; Agaricales; Clavariaceae
Description: sequence contains ITS1
Source: RNAcentral
UUGAAUUUUAAAGGAUGUGCUGGCUGCCCUCAGAGGUUUGCAUGUGCACUCUACAAAAUCUCCAUUCUCUACACCAUUGUGCACAACCCAGUAGGCAAAACAGGUUCACAGAGCAAUCUGUGCACAUUGUCUGCCUAUGCUUUUUAUACCAAACCCCAAUAAUAUGUCAGAAUGAUGUAUUGCAGUAAGCUUUCACAAGCUGAAUCUAAUA